CAGGUCUUGACAUCCUCUGAAAACCCUAGAGAUAGGGCUUCUCCUUCGGGAGCAGAGUGACAGGUGGUGCAUGGUUGUCGUCAGCUCGUGUCGUGAGAUGUUGGGUUAAGUCCCGCAACGAGCGCAACCCUUGAUCUUAGUUGCCGUCAUUAAGUUGGGCACUCUAAGGUGACUGCCGGUGACAAACCGGAGGAAGGUGGGGAUGACGUCAAAUCAUCAUGCCCCUUAUGACCUGGGCUACACACGUGCUACAAUGGACGGUACAAAGAGCUGCAAGACCGCGAGGUGGAGCUAAUCUCAUAAAACCGUUCUCAGUUCGGAUUGUAGGCUGCAACUCGCCUACAUGAAGCUGGAAUCGCUAGUAAUCGCGGAUCAGCAUGCCGCGGUGAAUACGUUCCC
RNAcentral lists this ribosomal RNA (399 nucleotides) under uncultured bacterium. RNAcentral describes it as "bacterial SSU rRNA". It matches the Rfam family "Bacterial small subunit ribosomal RNA", at positions 975 to 1375 of the family's 1533-position model. The record is from RNAcentral.